This 753-nucleotide ribosomal RNA is filed under the name uncultured bacterium. Its description in RNAcentral is "bacterial SSU rRNA". It matches the Rfam family "Bacterial small subunit ribosomal RNA", at positions 65 to 817 of the family's 1533-position model. The record is from RNAcentral.
AGCGCGAACCCGCAAGGGGGGAGAGCGGCAAACGGGGUAGUAACGGGUAGGUGACGUACCCUCGGGUUGGGGAUAGCCACGGGAAACUGUGGGUAAUACCCAAUAAUCUCCUGGAGCUUGAAGGCUUCGGGAGCAAAGGUGUGAUUCCACCGGAGGAGCGGCCUGCUUCGUAUUAGCUAGUUGGUGAGGUAACGGCUCACCAAGGCAUCGAUGCGUAGGGGGUGUGAGAGCAUGACCCCCACCACUGGGACUGAGAUACUGCCCAGACACCUACGGGCGGCUGCAGUCGAGAAUCUUCGGCAAUGGGCGCAAGCCUGACCGAGCGACGCCGCGUGUGGGAUGAAGGCCCUUGGGUUGUAAACCACUGUCAGAGGGGAUGAAGUGCCAGAGAGUAAUCUCUUUGGUUUGACAUAGCCUCAGAGGAAGCACGGGCUAAGUUCGUGCCAGCAGCCGCGGUAAUACGAACUGUGCAAACGUUAUUCGGAAUCACUGGGCUUACAGGGUGCGUAGGCGGCUUGCUAAGUAGGGUGUGAAAGCCCCCGGCUCAACCGGGGAAUGGCGCCUUAAACUGGCGAGCUGGAGUGAGAUAGGGGUGUGCGGAACUUCCGGUGGAGCGGUGAAAUGUGUUGAUAUCGGAAGGAACGCCGGUGGCGAAAGCGGCACACUGGAUCUCAACUGACGCUGAGGCACGAAAGCCAGGGGAGCGAACGGGAUUAGAUACCCCGGUAGUCCUGGCUGUAAACGAUGAGCACU